UUUUUUUUUUUGUUUUUUUGUCUUUUUGCCAUUUCUAGGGCAGCUCCCAUGGCAUAUGGAGGUUCCCAGGCUAGGGGUCUAAUCAGAGCCGUAGCUGCCGGCCUACACCAGAGGCACAGCAAUGCAGGAUCUGAGCCACGCCAGUGUCUACGGCUCCGAAUGGACCCCUAGCCUGCGAAUCUCCAUAUGCCGCAGGAGCGUCCCUAGAAAAAGACAAAAAAAAAAAAAGUAAGAAAGAAAAAGGCAGGCUGGGUUCAACUCACUCAUUUAAGGAACCCGACACCAACCAUCAGCAGCUCCCUGCCGUCAGAGGGCUUCCAUUCCAAUGAAGAAUUUCCUUAUGUCAUUUGCACCAUCAUCAUCUUGUGAGUCUACAAAAAUAAUUCUCUAACAGUAUCAGCCGGGUGCUAUUCGGUGCCAGGCUGCCGGCAACGACUUCAGCGGUCCUCUUGAAAAUGCAUCUGUGGAGGGCAACCCCACGAUCCAGAUUUUAAAGGGGAGGCAACAGGCUUGCAGGGGCUGAGGUGACUCAGCUGGGACAGAAGGGAACUGCAAACAGGCUGAGGGAAUGAGAUCCCUCUUGAUCCACAGAUACUGGCCUCUAAAACUUCAGGAGGAAAAUGAGAACUGGGAGAGCGAGGAGUGCCUUAUUACACACAAGGAUCAUUAGGGCAGAGGGUGAGUUACGCCCAGACUCACUCUUGGCCCAAGAUGGGCAGUCUGCUGGUUCCUCCACACAAGAAAAAGAACCCACGAGCCCUGAGCUGAACUCUUCCAGGCAGGCAACACGUGUGCCCAAAGGACCUGCCGAAAGGACAUGACAUGAUCGAUCCCAAUCAUCCUCGCUUCUCCCGCGGCUUCAAAUUAAGUCAUCUUUUUCGAGCGGCAUGACCGUUUUAAUCUUUAAAGAUAGAGGUGGGGGAGGGGGAGGAACUCUUACAUAUUUUACAAAAUGAAAUAAUCACCCGGAGAAAUAGAGAGACACAGGACAGACUUAGCUGCUUCUGAUCAAAACGUACUUCACUAAUUAAUGGCCACUAGUCUCCGAAGAGUCUCCCCUCGACUAGUUAAUAAUGCCCAUUAUACUUCACUUGAGAUGUGACCAUUUCUGGCGCCCAGACAGAGAGAUGCACGGCAGGAUUCAAAACCUUCGCUUUGGUCUCUCAUUAAAAUUCUGGUCAAAACAGAUUUUUAUUUAUAUGAUGCAUUACAGAAUAUUAUGACAGUCCUAAUAGGAAAGCUGUUCUUCCCUGCCACGGGUUUUCUUUUCGUGUGACGUUACUGUUUCUUUCCACCGGUCUUGUUUUAACACCUGCACGGAGUAUUUCUCUGGCGAGCGUUAGCAAGGAGGGACCGCCAGAAAGCAGAGAAAUGCAUCUGAACUGGAAGGCACGCGGACACACCAUUUACCAGCCCUGCACCGGGUCCCCGAGGAGGGGCACGGCUCACCUUGCCCCUGGGGCCCUGGCACGCAUGCGCGUGCGCGCACACACACACAUUUAACUGCAGGGAGAUAAACGAUAAACAAAAAAAGGCUUGAGUUGAAGUUCUACGCUCCAGCCAGCCAGGCUUUGGCCUCCACUACUAACUUCGGUCUGAAAUCCCCCUGGCCAGACUCAAAUUCUAAGAGGAAAUAGCCAUUAACAAGGAAGACGCUCUCUCUCCAACCUGCCCCAACUCCCAAGCACCACACCCCGCUGAUCCCCCAGCUGCUUCACUGUGGAGCAACCCCAGGACCAUCUGAGAGGUGCCCUGAGGGCUCAGAUGGAGACACACGCCAGACAGUGUCACACAAUAGGGUGACAUCACAGGGCUUGGGCGAAUUACCCAACCAUGGAACUUCAAGGUCCCGAGGCGCUGGCUGGGAUUCUGCUCUUUGCAGCCCGCUGACUGUCCGAGCCACCUCCUCCUCCCCUUCCCUCGCUGCCCCCGCACGACAGGAACUGGGAGAGCGCCCAGCUCAGGAGCCAGAUCGCACUACUUCUCAAUGCACCUGGGCCUUGCGUCCUCACCUAGAAAAUGGAGCUAAUGCUCAGAGGGCAGAAGCGAAGACUGAGUGAGUGAACACACUUCAGGUCCCUACCAGAGUGCCUGGCACACAGACUCAAUCCUCUCCUGGGAUCGCUGUGAGGACCUCGCAAAAAUAAUAAUAAAAACAGCACGUAACACAUACGCUAUGCUAGGUCUUCUUUCAGGCAUUUGACCUUUCCUUGUAUUUAUUGAUUGACUGAUUGAUUGAUUGCUUUUUUUCAGCAUAUGGACGUUCCCAAGCGAAGGGUGGAAAGAGAGCUGCAGCUGCCGGCCUCUGCCACAGGCACAGCAACGCCAGAUCUGAGCCACAUCUACAACCUAUACCACAGCUCACAGCAACACCAGAGCCUUAACCCACUGAGCAAGGCCAGAGAUCAAACCCAUAUCUUCAUGGAUACCAGUCGGGUUCAUUACUGCUGAGCCACAACGGGAACUCCCUACCGUUGUUAAUUGAUUGAAUCUGUACCCGAACUCAAUGCGAUGGGGAAACGGAGGUUCAGAGAAGCUAACUGAUUUGCCCAAAGUCACACAGUAUAACGAGGGGCACAGCUGGCAUCCAAAGACAAGCUGCUCAGCUUGAAAACAACAACAACAAGAAAGGUGGUUACACCAUCAACGAGAGUGAUGGGUCCCCAGGCCCUCCCCCUCUGCCAGGCCCUUUCACCCUUCACGACAACCUUCUGAGGGAGCCAAGUCAUCCCCCCAUUUUAUAGAUGAGCAAACCGAGACAAUUAACUCAGUGCUGCAGGACCUGGGAUUCGGGUGGCAAUAACGGAUAGGAAAGUUCGCUGAAAAAAGCAAGGCGUGUCAUAAAAAGUGUCCUUACAAAACCCCUAGAAUUGAAUGGACAGAUGUCCUUCCCCAACGGGUUGAAUGUUAGCUCACAUCCAAACGUCUGUUAAUUCACAUCCAAUUCAGAAGGCGGGAGGGGUGGGGUAUGCACACACUUUGACGCAUUCAAGAAAUAGUCUGUCUCAUUUUUUAAGUUGAACGCAUCACUGAAAAACCAAACGCCAGAGGAUAUUAAAAUAGAGCACUGGUUUAAAAAAAAAAAAAAAAAAAAAAAAAAAAAAA
Molecule: long non-coding RNA, 3105 nt
Filed under: Sus scrofa (pig)
Lineage: Eukaryota; Metazoa; Chordata; Mammalia; Artiodactyla; Suidae
Description: lncRNA (ENSSSCG00055016251.1)
Source: RNAcentral